This 378-nucleotide long non-coding RNA is filed under the name Elaeis guineensis (African oil palm). RNAcentral's name for it is "long non-coding RNA (EGUI_LNC073499)". The record is from RNAcentral. Lineage: Eukaryota; Viridiplantae; Streptophyta; Magnoliopsida; Arecales; Arecaceae.
GGUAGAUGAUCUCUGCGAUCAAUAAUCUGUGGUAAGUCGAGGUCCACUAUUGAGUCACGCAUGUACCCGACCUUUAUAGGUAUCCACUUGGAUCUUCAUCUAGGAUGCUUUCUCCAGAUCGGAUCCAUCUUCUCUAACUAGGAUCUAGGACUCUCGAUCAGCAAUGAUCUGACCUCCGAGGUCGACGGAUUGACUCUCGCCACAGCCUUCUUCUUCCUUCGAUCGGAUAGCACCUGAACCCCUUCAAGCGCUUACUAGAUCAGCCCAACUCCUUUGGGUGUGGAGGAUGAGGUAGCCUACUCUAGGCAUAUGAGGAGAGGGGAGAAUUGAUGGAGAAUAAUAGCCUAACACUUAGACAUGUGGGAAUGAGAGAAAUCA